CAACAGGGAUUGCCCCAGUAACGGCGAGUGAAGCGGCAACAGCUCAAAUUUGAAAUCUGGCUCUCGGGCCCGAGUUGUAAUUUGUAGAGGAUGCUUUUGGUGAGGUGCCUUCCGAGUUCCCUGGAACGGGACGCCAUAGAGGGUGAGAGCCCCGUCUGGUUGGACGCCGAACCUCUGUAAAGCUCCUUCGACGAGUCGAGUAGUUUGGGAAUGCUGCUCUAAAUGGGAGGUAUAUGUCUUCUAAAGCUAAAUACCGGCCAGAGACCGAUAGCGCACAAGUAGAGUGAUCGAAAGAUGAAAAGAACUUUGAAAAGAGAGUUAAAAAGUACGUGAAAUUGUUGAAAGGGAAGCGCUUGUGACCAGACUUGGGCUUGGUUGAUCAUCCGGGGUUCUCCCCGGUGCACUCUUCCGGCCCAGGCCAGCAUCAGUUCGCCCUGGGGGACAAAGGCUUCGGGAACGUGGCUCUCUCCGGGGAGUGUUA
This 481-nucleotide non-coding RNA is filed under the name Fusarium sp. NRRL 28553. RNAcentral describes it as "eukaryotic LSU rRNA". It matches the Rfam family "Eukaryotic large subunit ribosomal RNA", at positions 66 to 558 of the family's 3401-position model. RNAcentral also lists the same sequence under 1 other name. Lineage: Eukaryota; Fungi; Ascomycota; Sordariomycetes; Hypocreales; Nectriaceae. The record is from RNAcentral.